RNAcentral lists this ribosomal RNA (442 nucleotides) under uncultured bacterium. RNAcentral's name for it is "partial 16S ribosomal RNA". It matches the Rfam family "Bacterial small subunit ribosomal RNA", at positions 338 to 795 of the family's 1533-position model. The record is from RNAcentral.
CCUACGGGAGGCAGCAGUGGGGAAUAUUGGGCAAUGGGCGCAAGCCUGACCCAGCAACACCGCGUGAAGGAAGAAGGCUUUCGGGUUGUAAACUUCUUUUUAGAGGGAAGCGCCGAAGACGGUACCUCUUGAAUAAGCCACGGCUAACUACGUGCCAUCAGCCGCGGUAAUACGUAGGUGGCAAGCGGUGUCCGGAUUUACUGGGGGUAAAGGGCGUGCAGCCGGGAAGACAAGUCAGAUGUGAAAUCCCGCGGCUCAACCGCGGAACUGCAUUUGAAACUGUUUUUCUUGAGUACCGGAGAGGUCAUCGGAAUGCCUUGUGUAGCGGUGAAAUGCGUAGAUAUAAGGAAGAACACCAGUGGCGAAGGCGGAUGACUGGACGGCAACUGACGGUGAGGCGCGAAAGCGUGGGGAGCAAACAGGAUUAGAUACCCUAGUAGUC